RNAcentral lists this ribosomal RNA (252 nucleotides) under uncultured bacterium. RNAcentral's name for it is "partial 16S ribosomal RNA". It matches the Rfam family "Bacterial small subunit ribosomal RNA", at positions 524 to 776 of the family's 1533-position model. The record is from RNAcentral.
UACGGAGGAUGCGAGCGUUAUCCGGAUUUAUUGGGUUUAAAGGGUGCGUAGGCGGACUGUCAAGUCAGCGGUAAAAUUGAGAGGCUCAACCUCUUCCCGCCGUUGAAACUGGUGGUCUUGAGUGGAUGAGAAGUACGCGGAAUGCGUGGUGUGGCGGUGAAAUGCAUAGAUAUCACGCAGAACUCCGAUUGCGAAGGCAGCGUACCGGCAUCCAACUGACGCUGAGGCACGAAAGCGUGGGGAUCAAACAGG